AGAGUUCGAUCAUGGCUCAGGAUGAACGCUGGCGGCGUGCUUAAUACAUGCAAGUCGAACGAAGCACUUAAGACGGACUUCUUCGGAAUGAAGACUUUUGUGACUGAGUGGCGGACGGGUGAGUAACGCGUGGGUAACCUGCCUUGUACAGGGGGAUAACAGUUGGAAACGACUGCUAAUACCGCAUAAGCCCACAGCUCGGCAUCGAGCAGAGGGAAAAGGAGCAAUCCGCUUUGAGAUGGCCUCGCGUCCGAUUAGCUAGUUGGUGAGGUAACGGCCCACCAAGGCGACGAUCGGUAGCCGGACUGAGAGGUUGAACGGCCACAUUGGGACUGAGACACGGCCCAG
This 348-nucleotide ribosomal RNA is filed under the name uncultured bacterium. RNAcentral describes it as "bacterial SSU rRNA". It matches the Rfam family "Bacterial small subunit ribosomal RNA", at positions 8 to 334 of the family's 1533-position model. The record is from RNAcentral.